GUGGUCAUGGUUAACAUCACCAGGUUAUUGGAACGAUACAGAGAAGAUUAGCAUGGCCCCUGCACAAGGAUGACAUGCAAAUUCGUGAAGCGUCCUAUAUUUAA
Molecule: small nuclear RNA, 104 nt
Organism: Oryctolagus cuniculus (rabbit)
Lineage: Eukaryota; Metazoa; Chordata; Mammalia; Lagomorpha; Leporidae
Source: Ensembl